UAGGUCAGUUCAGUUGGUAGAGCACAGAGCUCUUAACUUUGUUGUUGUGGGUUCGAUUCCCUUGGCCAUC
Molecule: transfer RNA, 70 nt
Filed under: Rosa chinensis
Lineage: Eukaryota; Viridiplantae; Streptophyta; Magnoliopsida; Rosales; Rosaceae
Description: tRNA RchiOBHm_Chr5g0065381
Rfam family: tRNA
About the family: Transfer RNA (tRNA) molecules are approximately 80 nucleotides in length.
Source: RNAcentral